This is a long non-coding RNA of Perca fluviatilis (European perch), 998 nucleotides long. RefSeq lists it as uncharacterized. The record is from RefSeq and is a predicted model, not a curated record. The transcript has 3 exons. NCBI's taxonomy places the organism in Eukaryota, Metazoa, Chordata, Actinopteri, Perciformes, Percidae.
UUCAGAGAGUAACCCAUUUUCUGGGUUAUAGGGCUAAUAUUUGACCCAUUGCCUGGGUUGUUUGGGUUUCUGGGUUAUUUUUCAAAGAGUAACCCAUGUUCUGGGUUAUAGGCUUGGCGCUCUCUCUCUCUCUCUACAAUGUAUUUUUCGGUUAGUUGUCUUGACAUCGGACCAGCUUAUUUUCUCCUCUAAACGACACUUUGGUCCCUGGGGCAGGGAGGCAGUCUGAAAGAAGAAAAAUAGCCUUCAGCCUCUGCAGCAUCAGCCUCCUCCUCAACACACAGGAGCAGCUAGACCCUGUUGGGGAGCAGACUCCAUUCAUGCUGCUGGACCAGCAGGAAAUGGAGCAAGAGUCAGGAACAAACCUGAAAAACCUCUUCCGGGGCAGUGGACGUAGCCCUGGAAUAAGGAACCUGAAAUUCCCUCCUUCAAUUGAAGACCUCCAGGACUACCAGCGGUACCAUGAGGGCAGCUGCCCCCCUUCCAAGCAGCUGGAAAAUGCACAGUCCAAAGUGUCGAGGGUCAGGUCUUUUAUAUUUUACCUGGCAAAGGGACAGACUGUAUUGUUCAGUUUGCUAUUUUAAGGAAGUGUGACUUUCCAUGUGAAUUAUUGUGAAGUGGUUAUGACACACACCCGAUGUGAACAGUGACUAACUCAAAGCCUAUGUUUCUGCAGAUACACAGCCCACCUCCAGUCCCCAGGCAAGACCAUCACAACGGCACAUUUCUACUUGAGAACCAUACAGCAGCUCCUCAAAUACUUUCUGGAAACCCUGCCUGCCCAGUCUCACCUGACUGCGAUGGAUGUGGUGAGCGUGCUGCGCCCCGUCACAAAGUGCAUCACAGACACAACCAGGAACGUUGUCCUGCACCAGCUGGCAGUGAAAAGCCACAAUAAGGCCACACUGAGGACCCCAGAGCUGCUGGGUAGUGUGCAUCCCUCUUUCCAAAAUAGUGAAAAUAGUCCAUCUCCAACAGAAGCCUGCCGUGCAUAGUGA